Molecule: ribosomal RNA, 496 nt
Filed under: uncultured bacterium
Lineage: Bacteria
Description: partial 16S ribosomal RNA
Rfam family: Bacterial small subunit ribosomal RNA
Source: RNAcentral
AUGAACGCUGGCGGCGUGCCUAAUACAUGCAAGUCGCGCGAACAGACGAGGAGCUUGCUCCUUUGACGUUAGCGGCGGACGGGUGAGUAACACGUGGAUAACCUACCUAUAAGACUGGGAUAACUUCGGGAAACCGGAGCUAAUACCGGUUAACAUGUUGAACCGCAUGGUUCAACAGUGAAAGACGGUUUUGCUGUCACUUAUAGAUGGAUCCGCGCCGCAUUAGCUAGUUGGUAAGGUAACGGCUUACCAAGGCAACGAUGCGUAGCCGACCUGAGAGGGUGAUCGGCCACACUGGAACUGAGACACGGUCCAGACUCCUACGGGAGGCAGCAGUAGGGAAUCUUCCGCAAUGGGCGAAAGCCUGACGGAGCAACGCCGCGUGAGUGAAGAAGGUCUUCGGAUCGUAAAACUCUGUUAUUAGGGAAGAACAAAUGUGUAAGUAACUAUGCACGUCUUGACGGUACCUAAUCAGAAAGCCACGGCUAACUACGUG